AGUCGAACGGCAGCACGGGAGCAAUCCUGGUGGCGAGUGGCGAACGGGUGAGUAAUAUAUCGGUACGUGCCCAGUCGUGGGGGAUAACGCAGCGAAAGCUGUGCUAAUACCGCAUACGAUCUCUGGAUGAAAGCGGGGGACCGCAAGGCCUCGCGCGAUUGGAGCGGCCGAUAUCAGAUUAGCUAGUUGGUGGGGUAAAAGCCCACCAAGGCGACGAUCUGCAGCUGGUCUGAGAGGACGACCAGCCACACUGGAACUGAGACACGGUCCAGACUCCUACGGGAGGCAGCAGUGGGGAAUUUUGGACAAUGGGCGCAAGCCUGAUCCAGCAAUGCCGCGUGCAGGAUGAAGGCCUUCGGGUUGUAAACUGCUUUUGUACGGAACGAAACGGCCUUUUUAAUACAAGGGGCUAAUGACGGUACCGUAAGAAUAAGCACCGGCUAACUACGUGCCAGCAGCCGCGGUAAUACGUAGGGUGCGAGCGUUAAUCGGAAUUACUGGGCGUAAAGCGUGCGCAGGCGGUUAUAUAAGACAGAUGUGAAAUCCCCGGGCUCAACCUGGGACCUGCAUUUGUGACUGUAU
RNAcentral lists this ribosomal RNA (582 nucleotides) under uncultured bacterium. RNAcentral describes it as "bacterial SSU rRNA". It matches the Rfam family "Bacterial small subunit ribosomal RNA", at positions 60 to 638 of the family's 1533-position model. The record is from RNAcentral.